Long non-coding RNA from Papaver somniferum (opium poppy), 1200 nucleotides. RefSeq lists it as uncharacterized. The record is from RefSeq and is a predicted model, not a curated record. The transcript is spliced from 3 exons. Lineage: Eukaryota; Viridiplantae; Streptophyta; Magnoliopsida; Ranunculales; Papaveraceae.
GCUGUUCUCUUCCUAAUCUAACAUUACCAAAUCGACGAACUUCACCUCCCUCCUGGACGAGAAAAAUCCCUAAGCUCACCCUUCGAAAUCGAAAUUGGGAGCAUAAUAGGAUGCGAUUCUAACAUUUGGGUUCGUACUCAACUCCGAUUUUGUCAGAUUUUCAUCAACUCUUUCUGGGAAGCCACUCAAUAAUGGGAAUUUGUUUGAUUUCAAACCUACUCACUUAACUAUCAAGUUGCUUCGCCGAUGGUUCGAUUUCGUUGAUCACCGGUGACAAUUGAAGGCAAUGUUUUGGAUUUUAAGACACGUCGAAGUCCAAGAUUUUUGGAUUAAAUAGAUUCACAGUACCAAUUGGAUUCCAGUUUAAUGAAAAGGAAGCAAAUCUACAAAGACGUCGAAAUGCUUACUAUUCGAUGACUGAAUAUGAAAAUGAAGCUUAUCUACAAAAAAGUUUGAAUGCUUAUCGUACGAAGAAAAGAAAAUGUGGUGGGAACACAAUUCAGGGAACAUGAACGAGGUGCAGGAAUAACUCUCAAGGUGAUGGAGUACCUCCCGUGCAGUUCAAGUGGUUAUAACAAUAAGGUGUGACAACAUUUGCCGGAGCCUUAGGAUCAUAAAACAACUUCGGCAUCUAGCAUUAGCAGGUACACUGAUUGAAAGAGGCAAGAAACAUCAACCUAAAACUGACGGAGAAUUGCAUUUUAAGUAAGCACUAUAUUUGUAGUUACCAAAUUUCCUUCAUUAUUUUAGAAAAUGUAAGCACUGUAUUUUCAAUUCAACUUUGAUGUCGUUGCCGAUUCAAGUGGCAGGCACAGUUGCAAAUGCAUCUUUACUAAACUGUCUGUUUUACCAUACCAUCUCGACAUAGGGCACUGUUUUCUCCCAGUUGGAUGCUUAAUGUGAUCACUGGCUUAAACCAGGUCAAGAUUGUCAGCAUCACAUGUGCUUACCGCUUUUGGCCGGAGAAGCAGGCACAUUGUGCGUGCGUUUUCACAUCAUUUUUGGGUGCCAGAUCGCCUUUUCAAGCGGCAGGUAGGCGCAACGCGCGUGCGAUAUUACUAGUAUUAUUAAUAAAAACGAAACCUACUACAUUUAUUGUUAACUAAUUUUUAUAUGAUCUCAAAAGAUCUUGUAAGAUGGUUUGCCUCUGCCAAUUGAUGCUUGGACUUUGGUUUGGUGAAAGAAAAUGUCUUCCUUGUA